RNAcentral lists this long non-coding RNA (248 nucleotides) under Homo sapiens (human). Its description in RNAcentral is "HSALNT0265811". The record is from RNAcentral. Lineage: Eukaryota; Metazoa; Chordata; Mammalia; Primates; Hominidae.
CUGAAGCCAAGGCGGGAGGCAGCUGACAACACCCACGGCCCAUGUGGAGGUGGUGGAAAGGCUGGACUCAGCAGCAACACCAAAUCCCGGACCAGGCAGAAACCACCCAAGACUGAGGGGCUCAUGCCAGAGCGGUGGCCACAGGAGGUACCGUUGGGAAUGAAUUCUGUGCUGUUGUUGCCAAUCCUGGAAUGAAGUGAGACUCCCCUCCUCAGCCUCCUGACAGAGUCAUCUCAUUUCUUCUUUGA